This 540-nucleotide non-coding RNA is filed under the name Pongo abelii (Sumatran orangutan). Lineage: Eukaryota; Metazoa; Chordata; Mammalia; Primates; Hominidae. The record is from RNAcentral.
CCGCACCGCCAGAGCCUGGCUGGGGCGCGCCAACUCCCGCUCCCCGCAGGCAUCCUUUCCGCAGCCGGGGCCCCGGCGGGACUGGGAACGACUUGGGCGCGGCGCUGCUGCUGCGGCGACCCUUCGCCGUUCGCCUCCCCCUACCCCUCCCGGCCCGGGCUGCACAGCGGGAUUGCAGGAGACCGCGAAGCUUCCCGGUUCGUUCUCUUUCUUCUUCUCGGUGGCGGCCCCAGCAAAGACCCCCCCGAGCCCACCGCGGCAGCAAAGUUCCCGCGCUCACCGUCGGCCACGAAGAGCAGCAGGGCAUGCAGCAGCAGAGGCGGCAGGACACUUGGACCAACAAAAAAUAUUUUCUUCUCAGUCGUGCAUGCAAAUAUAUGGAAGAUCUUAGAAAAUUAUGGAAAGUGGGGCACACUGAACAAAAUCACUGCCAUCAGAGAGAAUGAAGUGAUGCAAGACCAGGAUGUGUCAGGAAGCCCAAGCGUGUGUCGCCAUGUUGAUCUCCUUGUGAAAUAGGAUGGACUCAGUACUUGCAGCUAG